This 499-nucleotide small RNA is filed under the name uncultured Glomus. RNAcentral describes it as "SSU rRNA". It matches the Rfam family "Eukaryotic small subunit ribosomal RNA", at positions 591 to 1092 of the family's 1831-position model. RNAcentral also lists the same sequence under 1 other name. The record is from RNAcentral. Lineage: Eukaryota; Fungi; Glomeromycota; Glomeromycetes; Glomerales; Glomeraceae.
CCAAUAGCGUAUAUUAAAGUUGUUGCAGUUAAAAAGCUCGUAGUUGAAUUUCGGGAUCAAUAUAUCGGUCGUGCCUUGGUACGUACUGGUAUCAUUGGUUUCUCCUUUCUGACGAACCAUGAUGUCAUUAAUUUGGUGUUAUGGGAAGUUAGGACUGUUACUUUGAAAAAAUUAGAGUGUUUAAAGCAGGCUUUAGCUUGAAUACAUUAGCAUGGAAUAAUGAAAUAGGACGUUCGAACCUAUUUUGUUGGUUUCUAGGAUCAACGUAAUGAUUAAUAGGGAUAGUUGGGGGCAUUAGUAUUCAAUUGUCAGAGGUGAAAUUCUUGGAUUUAUUGAAGACUAACUACUGCGAAAGCAUUUGCCAAGGAUGUUUUCAUUAAUCAAGAACGAAAGUUAGGGGAUCGAAGACGAUCAGAUACCGUCGUAGUCUUAACCAUAAACUAUGCCGACUAGGGAUCGGAUGAUGUUAAUUUUUUAAUGACUCAUUCGGCGCCUUACG